RNAcentral lists this ribosomal RNA (871 nucleotides) under uncultured bacterium. RNAcentral describes it as "bacterial SSU rRNA". It matches the Rfam family "Bacterial small subunit ribosomal RNA", at positions 1 to 926 of the family's 1533-position model. The record is from RNAcentral.
UAGAGUUUGAUCCUGGCUCAGAACGAACGCUGGCGGCAUGCCUAACACAUGCAAGUCGAACGAGACCUUCGGGUCUAGUGGCGCACGGGUGCGUAACGCGUGGGAACCUGCCUUUAGGUUCGGAAUAACUCCCCGAAAGGGGUGCUAAUACCGGAUGAUGUCUUCGGACCAAAGAUUUAUCGCCUUAAGAUGGGCCCGCGUAAGAUUAGGUAGUUGGUGGGGUAAAGGCCUACCAAGCCGACGAUCUUUAGCUGGUCUGAGAGGAUGAUCAGCCACACUGGGACUGAGACACGGCCCAGACUCCUACGGGAGGCAGCAGUGGGGAAUAUUGGACAAUGGGCGAAAGCCUGAUCCAGCAAUGCCGCGUGAGCGAUGAAGGCCUUAGGGUUGUAAAGCUCUUUUACCAGGGAUGAUAAUGACAGUACCUGGAGAAUAAGCUCCGGCUAACUCCGUGCCAGCAGCCGCGGUAAUACGGAGGGAGCUAGCGUUGUUCGGAAUUACUGGGCGUAAAGCGCACGUAGGCGGCGACUCAAGUCAGGGGUGAAAGCCCGGGGCUCAACCCCGGAACUGCCCUUGAAACUAGGUUGCUAGAAUCUUGGAGAGGUCAGUGGAAUUCCGAGUGUAGAGGUGAAAUUCGUAGAUAUUCGGAAGAACACCAGUGGCGAAAGCGACUGACUGGACAAGUAUUGACGCUGAGUGCGAAAGCGUGGGGAGCAAACAGGAUUAGAUACCCUGAUAGUCCACGCGUAAACGAUGAUAACUAGCUGUCCGGGCACUUGGUGCUUGGGUGGCGCAGCUAACGCAUUAAGUUAUCCGCCUGGGGAGUACCGUCGCAAGAUUAAACUCCAAAAGAAUUGACGGGGGCCUGCCC